This 320-nucleotide long non-coding RNA is filed under the name Pan troglodytes (chimpanzee). Its description in RNAcentral is "long non-coding RNA NONPTRT005689". Lineage: Eukaryota; Metazoa; Chordata; Mammalia; Primates; Hominidae. The record is from RNAcentral.
GACCCGAGCUGGGGAGGGGCGGUGGCUUUAUGCUGACAAAACAACAGCUGCCCGUUAUCCCCUCCCCGGUUUAGCUCCAUCACAACCCCACCUCCGUGUGCUUACCGGAGUGGCCAUGGGCUGUCUUGGAAUGGGCAGAAUGUCGUAAGAUGAGGAGAAGAAACAGAGGCUCAGCGAGUGAGGUCGCAUACCCGAGGUCACCCAGCAAGCAGUAUUCCAACCCAAUUCUCCAUCCGAAGCUCUCAGCAGCAUUCCGGAAACAGCGCCAGGCCCCCUGGAGGAGCUGGUCUGCUGCUGGCUGCGGGGCUGGAAGGGGCCUG